RNAcentral lists this long non-coding RNA (9004 nucleotides) under Gossypium barbadense (sea-island cotton). Its description in RNAcentral is "long non-coding RNA (GBAR_LNC017962)". Lineage: Eukaryota; Viridiplantae; Streptophyta; Magnoliopsida; Malvales; Malvaceae. The record is from RNAcentral.
UCUUUUUCACCGAAAGUAGAAAAGAAAAGAAAAAGUUUGAAAGCUUCAAAUAUUCGGCCAUUUUGAAGCUUAAUUCAAGGUUAGUUUUUGUUCAGUUUUUGAUAAUUUUUACGUUUUUGAGAUCGUUGCUUUGAAUACUUCAAAACCCAUGUCUUAAUUUUGUAAAUUGUUGAUGAUUUUGAGAAAUGCCAUUGAUGAAUUCUUAAGCUUUGUGAUAGUUGGUGAUGAAAUAUGAAAGAUAUGUGAAAGAUUAACAUGUUUUGUCUUUGAAUUUUAGAUGAAUUUGAGUAAUUAGGUUAAAUUGUAAAAAAUAAAAUUUUGAAGGAUUAAAAUGUGAAAUAAAUGAAAUUUGUGGGCUUGUAUGGACACUAGGAAUAUUAGGUCCUUAAGGAGUGUAGUCAAAUUUUGUGUAUUUUGUGUUUUGAGCAAAAGGGCUAAAUUGUGAAAAUGUGAAAUAUUAGGGGUAAAAAUGUAAUUUGCCUAUUUAUGUGUUCUUAGACUAAAUUGAAUGAAAAUAUGUUUAAAUGAGAUUUAUUUGAAUAUGUUUAGAUCAAGAAACCAAGAAAUCAGAUUUAGAUCGGGGGAAAUCGAAAGUAGUUGAGUAGCCGAUCUAUUAGUCGACGACAUCCGAGGUAAGUUAUUAAGCAUAUAUAUAUUCGUAUCAUUUUAAAUCAGCUUGGUAUUUAUGUAAUUACGCUGAAUUAAAUGAUAUAUAUAUACAUGUAGUGAUAAAAUUAUUGAAAUAAGAUGUACUGAGUUGUUGACUUUCGACACUAAGUGUGCGAGUUUAAUUGUAAAGCACUAAGUGUGCGAGUUUAAUGGAAAAGCACUAAGUGUGCGAGUUUGAUUAUUUAGCACUAAGUGUGCGAACUUAUUAAAUAUUUUCGAAUAACUAUUAGCAUUGAGUAUUUUGUCUUAUUAAGAAAUCAUGAUUAGAAAAUGAGUAAAUACUUGGAAUUCUUGAGUAAUAGCCAUUAUGGUUGUAUAUAAAGUUAAGCUUGGUAGGUAUUAAACCCAUGUGGUGAUUUUAUUUGGAAUCAUAUAUAUAUAUAAGAUGAUUCUUUAUAUUACAUGAUGAGAAAAUGCAUAAUGUAUUUGGCCUUGUGUUUAAAUUUGAAGAAAUGUUUAUGGUUGUGUAAUUAUAUUGAUUUUAGUUAAAUCAUAGUAAUAAGUGAAUAAUUAUCUUAUGAUAUGGUAAAUUAAAGGUAAGAUGAUUUAGUAGUAUGAAUUUGUUGAAUAUUAUUUGAGAUAUCGGGUUAAAUAGUAGUGUUUAUUUGCUUAUAACUUACUAAGCUAAAUUAGCUUACAAUGUGUUGGAUAAUUUUUUUGACAUAUAGAUUUUGGUGAACGCUACGUGUUCGGGGAUCGUCAGCUAAGUUCAUAACACUAUCGAUAUUUUCUUUUGGUACUUCGCUAAAUCGUUUUCAAAUAUAUGGCAUGUAUAGCAUAGUUAAAAUAUUGAUUUUGGAACCAAUGUGUAUAUGUAUUGAAAAGUCAUGCAAAAAUAAAUGGCUUGUCUCUUUUGGUUUGAAUUCGGUAUUAAUGCAUAUGCUUUAAUGGUCUAAAAUGUGGUAUAUGUUCAUGUUAUUUUUAUGCUUAAAUGCUGCACAAUUUCUUGUAUAUAUAUGCUGCUCAAUUUGUUGUAUAUUUGCCGCCAAUUUGUUGUAUAUAAGCUGUCCAAUUUUUGGUGUAAAAAUGCUGCUCAAUUUGUUGUAUAUUUGCUGCCAAUUUGUUUUAUAUAAGCUGUCCAAUUUUUGGUGUAAAAAUGCUGCUCAAUUUGUUGUGUAAUUGCUGUCCAAUUUGUUGUGUAUAAGUUGUCCAAUUUUGGUGCAAAAAUGCUGCUCAAUAUGUUGUAUAUAUGCUGCGUAAAUUGUUGUAUAUAUGUUGUCCAAAUUUUGGUGUGAAAUUGCUGUUUAGUUUGGUAUAAAAAUGCUGUCCAUAUUGACAUAUAAGGGCUGUCCAAGAUAGGGUAGAUUACCUAUGUUGUAAUAUGUAGUAUAGUUAGUAAAUUGAAAUGAAAUAUGUGUACAAAUAAAUGUUUGGAUAUAUGCUUGAUUUAUGAUAUAUAAUCAUAUAUGUUUGGAAAUGUUUUAAGAAUUUGAAUGAUAUUAAAUUUUGAUUAGGUAAAUGAUAAUUAUAUGGUUAGUAUAUAAAAUUUGAUUAAUGAUGCAAGUUGAUUUUAAUUGGUUAUGUGAUUAAAUAUAUAUAUAUGGAAUGAGAUUUUCGUGGUUGAGUUGGUAUAAUUUAUAAAAAAAAUUUGAGUUGGAUUUUUGAUUGGUAAUGCCUCGUAACUCAAAUCCGGCGACGGACACGAGUUGGGGUGUUACAUUUGAUUUGGUAUCAGAGCUACGGUUUAGUCGAUUCUAGGACUAACGUAGCACGUAUGAGUCUAGCUAUACAUGCCAUAUUUUAUAUAUUGAGAUAGUGUGAUGACUUCUGACAUCUACAAAUGUGUUUUUGUAUAGUAAUGGAUCUCGAUCGAACUGCAGCGGAUGAUGUCGAGAGUGUAGCGCCUGCUCCCGUGCAAGGGACAGAGCCGAUUGAUUCUCGACCGAAUACGAGUAACCAUGGUGAUGAGACUAAACAAGCCUUCUAUUCUAUGAUGAAUGAAUGGUUUACUCAAUAUAUCCGGACAAAUCUGGCUGUUCAACAACCUCCGACCCCGAUUAACCCACUUCCGAUGCCUGUGGUACCUCCAACUAUUGAUCAUAUGAGAUUGAAUAAACCUCCUGUUGAUAAGAUAAGAAAAUACGGAGCUGAAGAAUUUAGGGCCACAGCUAGUGAUGAUGCAGAACGGGCUGAGUUUUGGCUCGAUAAUACCAUUUGUGUCUUCGAUGAAUUAUCUUGUACACCUGAUGAGUGCCUGAAAUGUGCGAUAUCUUUGUUACAGGAUUCAGCUUACUAUUGGUGGAACACUCUAGUUUCGAUUGUUCCGAAAGAGCGUGUCACUUGGGAUUUCUUUCAGACAGAAUUUCGUAAAAAGUAUAUCAGUCAGCGAUUCAUUGAUCAGAAACACAAAGAAUUUCUCGAGCUAAAGUAGGGUCGUAUGACCGUAUCUGAUUAUGAGCGCGAGUUUGUGAGACUCAGCCGAUAUGCCCGAGAGUGUGUUACGACCGAGAUUACUAUGUGUAAAAGAUUCAAGGAGGGGCUGAAUGAAGACAUAAAAUUACUUGUCGGUAUACUCGAAAUAAAAGAGUUCGUAGUACUCGUCGAGCGAGCUUGCAAGGCUGAAGAACUCAGCAAAGAGAAAAGAAAAGCUGAGUUUGAAGCUAGUGAUUUUCGAAAGAGAUCAGCGAGUAAAACUUUUCAUACGGCAACAAAGAAGUUCAGAGAUGUUAGUAGCCGAUCUAAGGCUACUGCGGGCUUUCUAUACAAGAAUGACCACCAAUGAGUUCAAGAGCCACUUCAGUUGCUAGUGUUGGUAAUACCCGACUGAAUAAACCUGAGUGUCAGCAAUGUGGUAGGAGACAUGUUGGUGAGUGUUGGGGCAAGUACAACAAUCGAGUUUGCUAUAAAUGUGGAUCGAAAGAUCAUUUUAUUCAAGACUGCCCAGAGUUUGCGGAUCAAAAUUCGACUCAGAAUAUGAGAUCGGGCAACACAGCAGCUCGGGGUAGACCACCUAGGAACACGGGUAAUGUGAGUGCCAAUCAAAGAGGUACUAAAGAUACAGCUGUUAGAUCCGAGGCUCGCGCACCUGCCAGAGCCUAUGCCAUUCGCACAUGUGAGGAGGCUUCAUCCCCAGAUGUUAUUACUGAUACUUUCACUCUUUAUGAUACUAAUGUUAUUGCACUGAUUGAUCCUGGUUCGACUCAUUCAUAUGUGUGUGAGACUUUAGUAUUCAGUAAGAAUUUGCAUGUUGAGUCUACUGAAUUUGUGAUUAGAGUAUUAAACCCCCUGGGCCGGUGUGUGUUGGUUGACAAAGUGUGUAAGAAUUGUCCGUUGAUGAUUCGAAAUUUGUGUUUUACGGCUGAUUUGAUGUUGUUGCCAUUUGACGAGUUCAAUAUAAUUUUGGGUAUGGACUGGUUGACUUUACACGAUGCUGUGGUUAACUGUAAAAGGAAGACUAUUGAUUUAAUAUGCCUGAAUGACGAGAUUAUUCGGAUUGAAUCUAAUGAUCUGAAUGGUUUAUCGGCAGUGAUAUCCUCUAUGUUGGCUCAGAAGUAUGUGAGAAAAGGUUGUGAAGCUUAUCUUGCAUAUGUUCUUGAUAGUAAAGUGAUAGAAAAGAAGAUUGAAUCAGUACCUGUUGUAUGUGAGUAUCCAGAUGUGUUCCCUGAAGAAUUACCGGGUUUGCCACCUAUUCGAGAAGUUGAGUUUGGGAUUGAAUUAGUGCCGGGGACAACUCCGAUUUCGAUAGCUCCACACAGGAUGGCACCUACAGAAUUAAAAGAGUUGAAAGCGCAGUUACAAGAGUUGACAGAUAGAGGUUUCGCACGAUCGAGUUUUUCUCCUUGGGGGGUACCAAUUCUAUUUGUGAGAAAGAAAGACAGAACGAUGAGAAUGUGCAUUGACUAUCGGCAGCUCAAUAAGGUGACUAUAAAGAAUAAGUAUUCGUUACCACGGAUUGAUGAUUUGUUCGAUCAGUUGAAAGGGGCUACUGUGUUCUCGAAGAUAGAUUUGAGAUCAGGCUACUAUCAGUUGCGAGUUAAAGACUCUGAUGUGCCAAAGACUGCCUUCCGAACGAGGUACGGACAUUAUGAGUUUCUUGUUAUGCCUUUUGGACUUACUAAUGCACCUGCUGUUUUCAUGGAUUUGAUGAAUCGGAUCUUUAGACAGUAUCUAGAUUAGUUUGUAGUAGUAUUCAUAGAUGAUAUUCUGAUCUACUCCCGUGAUGAGGCAGAGCAUGUCGAACAUUUGAGACUUGUGUUACAGACUUUACGAGAUAAACAGUUGUAUGCAAAAUUCAGUAAAUGUGAGUUUUGGUUGCGUGAAGUCAGUUUCUUAGGCCAUGUUAUAUCGGCAUCAGGUAUAAGGGUUGAUUCGAGCAAGAUUUUGGCUAUACUUGAUUGGAAACCUCCAAGAAAUGUUUCAGAAGUUCGAAGUUUUCUGGGACUUGUCGGUUAUUAUAGAUGGUUCGUAAAAGGAUUCUCUAUGAUUGCGACCCCGAUGACAAAGCUACUACAGAAAGACAUUAAGUUUGAGUGGUCAGAAAAGUGCCAGAAAAGUUUCGAUCAGUUGAAAGCUCUUUUGACCGAAGCUCCAGUAUUAGUUCAGCCAGAAUUGGGUAAAGAGUUUGUUAUCUAUAGUGAUGCAUCUUUAAAUGGUUUGGGCUGUGUUUUGAUGCAGGAAGGUAAAGUUGUAGCCUAUGCCUUGAGACAGUUAAAGCUGCACGAAAAGAACUAUCCGACACACGAUUUGGAAUUGGCCGCUAUUGUAUUUGCGUUGAAAAUAUAGCGUCACUAUCUGUUUGGCGAAAAAUGUCAUGUUUAUUCCGAUCACAAAAGCCUGAAGUACUUGAUGACUCAGAAAGAUCUGAAUUUGAGACAGCGUCGAUGGUUAGAAUUGCUAAAAGAUUACGAGCUUGUGAUUGACUAUCAUCCGGGAAAGGCUAAUGUUGUUGCUGAUGCUCUAAGUCGAAAAUCACUGUUUACUUUGAGUGCAAUGAAUGCACAUAUGACUAUAUCUGAUGAUGGUGCGAUAGUAGCUGAAUUGAAAGCAAAACCGUUACUUGUUCAACAGAUUUGUGAAGCUCAGAAAGCUGAUGAUGAUUUAAUUGUAAAACGAGCUCAGUGUGACUUAAAUUUUGAUUCAGAGUUUCUAGUUGAUGCUGAGGAUUAUUUGAGAUUCAGAAACUGAUUAUGUGUUUCGAGAAAUUCAAAGUUAAUUCAAGUAAUUUUGAAUGAAGCUCAUAAUAGUCGAUUUUCUGUUCAUCCGGGUAGUACGAAAAUGUAUAACGAUCUAAAACAGCACUAUUGGUGGCAUGGUAUGAAACGAGACAUUUCUGACUUUGUUUCGAAAUGUUUAAUUUGUCAGCAAGUUAAAGCCGAGCAUCAGGUACCAUCUGGAUUGCUUCAGCCGAUCAUGAUACCUGAAUGGAAAUGGGAUCGAGUCACGAUGGAUUUUGUAUCCGGUUUACCGUUGACACCGAGCAAGAAAGAUGCAAUCUGGGUUAUUGUUGAUAGGUUGACAAAAUUGACACACUUUAUUCCGAUUCGCACAGAUUUUUCGCUCGACAAACUUGUAGAAUUGUAUGUUUCACAAAUUGUGAGGUUGCAUGGUGUACCUAUUUCUAUUGUUUUGGACAGAGACCCGAGAUUCACAUCGCGGUUUUGGAAGAAAUUACAAGAUGCUUUAGGUACGAAACUACAUUUUAGCACUGCUUUCCAUCCGCAAACAGAUGGUCAAUCUGAGCGAAUCAUUCAGAUACUUGAGGAUAUGUUGAGAUGUUGCAUUCUUGAGUUUGAAGGUACGUGGGAACGAUACUUACCUUUGAUUGAAUUUGCUUAUAAUAAUAGCUUUCAAUCUAGUAUCAAAAUGGCACCUUACGAGGCUUUGUAUGGUCGUAAAUGUCAUACACCAUUGUAUUGGACUGAGCUCAGUGAAAAUAAGAUACACGGGGUCGAUUUGAUUAAAGAGACUGAACAGAAAGUGAAAGUGAUUCGGGAUAGUCUGAAAUCAGCAUCAGAUCGUCAGAAAUCUUAUGCGGACUUGAAAAGAAAGGAUAUAGAAUUUCAAAUUGGGGACAAAGUGUUUUUGAAAGUAUCACCGUGGAAGAAAAUACUCAGAUUUGGUCGCAAAGGCAAAUUAAGUCCGAGAUUCAUUAGACUGUAUGAGAUUUUAGAGCGUAUCGGGCCGGUUGCGUAUAAAUUGUUGUUGCCAUCUGAGUUAGAAAGGAUUCACAAUGUAUUUUAUGUUCGAUGCUUUGUAGAUACAAAUCUGAUCCUUCGCAUGUGAUUAGUCCGACGGAGAUUGAAAUUAACUCUAAUAUGUCAUAUGAAGAAGAACCGAUUAGUAUUCUGGCUCGUGAGAUCAAAGAAUUACGAAAUAAGAAAAUUCCAUUAGUCAAAGUACUGUGGCAUAAACACGGAGUUGAAGAAGCAACUUGGGAGUCAGAAGAUACAAUGAAAGAGCGUUAUCCAAACUUAUUCACCGGUAAGAUUUUCGGGGACGAAAAUCCCUAAAGGGGGGAGAGUUGUAACAGCCCGAUUAUUGACCCUAAUCGGAACAGUGGUUUCGGGACCACACAUCCGAGUCUGAAAAAUAUUUAAAUAUUUUAUUCUAUGUUUAUUAUGUGUGAAUUUACAUGUGUAAAAGUUUCGUGAAUUAAUUUUAUUGUUUGAAUGUUUAAUUUGAGAAAAGGGUUUAAUCGCGUAAAAUGAAAAUUUAGUGGUUAAAUAUGAAAGUGCCUAAUUGUUGUUGUCUUUAUAAGUUGGAGGCCUUAUGUUGUAAUUUAGCCAAUAGUAAUAGGUAGUGGAUGGCAUCAUGAUAAUAUGUGAUAUAUAUAUUUAUAAUAAAAGUUAAAAUAAUAAUAAUAUAAUAAUAUAUGUUAUAAUAAAACAAAACAUUUAAAACCCACCAUUUUAUGUUCAUCUUUUUCACCGAAAGUAGAAAAGAAAAGAAAAAGUUUGAAAGCUUCAAAUAUUCGGCCAUUUUGAAGCUUAAUUCAAGGUUAGUUUUUGUUCAGUUUUUGAUAAUUUUUACGUUUUUGAGAUCGUUGCUUUGAAUACUUCAAAACUCAUGUCUUAAUUUUGUAAAUUGUUGAUGAUUUUGAGAAAUGCCAUUGAUGAAUUCUUAAGCUUUGUGAUAGUUGGUGAUGAAAUAUGAAAGAUAUGUGAAAGAUUAACAUGUUUUGUCUUUGAAUUUUAGAUGAAUUUGAGUAAUUAGGUUAAAUUGUAAAAAAUAAAAUUUUGAAGGAUUAAAAUGUGAAAUAAAUGAAAUUUGUGGGCUUGUAUGGACACUAGGAAUAUUAGGUCCUUAAGGAGUGUAGUCAAAUUUUGUGUAUUUUGUGUUUUGAGCAAAAGGGCUAAAUUGUGAAAAUGUGAAAUAUUAGGGGUAAAAAUGUAAUUUGCCUAUUUAUGUGUUCUUAGACUAAAUUGAAUGAAAAUAUGUUUAAAUGAGAUUUAUUUGAAUAUGUUUAGAUCAAGAAACCAAGAAAUCAGAUUUAGAUCGGGGGAAAUCGAAAGUAGUUGAGUAGCCGAUCUAUUAGUCGACGACAUCCGAGGUAAGUUAUUAAGCAUAUAUAUAUUCGUAUCAUUUUAAAUCAGCUUGGUAUUUAUGUAAUUACGCUGAAUUAAAUGAUAUAUAUAUACAUGUAGUGAUAAAAUUAUUGAAAUAAGAUGUACUGAGUUGUUGACUUUCGACACUAAGUGUGCGAGUUUAAUUGUAAAGCACUAAGUGUGCGAGUUUAAUGGAAAAGCACUAAGUGUGCGAGUUUGAUUAUUUAGCACUAAGUGUGCGAACUUAUUAAAUAUUUUCGAAUAACUAUUAGCAUUGAGUAUUUUGUCUUAUUAAGAAAUCAUGAUUAGAAAAUGAGUAAAUACUUGGAAUUCUUGAGUAAUAGCCAUUAUGGUUGUAUAUAAAGUUAAGCUUGGUAGGUAUUAAACCCAUGUGGUGAUUUUAUUUGGAAUCAUAUAUAUAUAUAAGAUGAUUCUUUAUAUUACAUGAUGAGAAAAUGCAUAAUGUAUUUGGCCUUGUGUUUAAAUUUGAAGAAAUGUUUAUGGUUGUGUAAUUAUAUUGAUUUUAGUUAAAUCAUAAUAAAAAGUGAAUAAUUAUCUUAUGAUAUGGUAAACUAAAGGUAAGAUGAUUUAGUAGUAUGGAUUUGUUGAAUAUUAUUUGAGAUCUCGGGUUAAAUAGUAGUGUUUAUUUGCUUAUAACUUACUAAGCUAAAUUAGCUUACAAUGUGUUAGAUAAUUGUUUUGAUGUAUAGAUUUUGGUGAACGCUACGUGUUUGGGGAUCGUCAGCUCAGCUCAUCACACUAUCGAUAUUUUCUUUUGGUACUUCGCUAAAUCGUUUUCAAAUAUAUGGCAUGUAUAGCAUAGUUAAAAUAUUGAUUUUGGAACCAAUGUG